CUACAAGGAUUCCCUAGUAACUGCGAGUGAAGCGGGAAGAGCUCAAAUUUGGAAUCUGGCGGCCCCUGUGGCCGUCCGAGUUGUAAUCUAGAGAAGUGCUUAUCCGCGCUGGACCGUGUACAAGUCUCCUGGAAUGGAGCGUCGCAGAGGGUGAGAAUCCCGUCUCUGACACGGACUGCCAGGGCUCCAUGUGAUGCGCUCUCGAAGAGUCGAGUUGUUUGGGAAUGCAGCUCAAAACGGGUGGUAAAUUCCAUCUAAAGCUAAAUAUUGGCGAGAGACCGAUAGCGAACAAGUACCGUGAGGGAAAGAUGAAAAGAACUUUGGAAAGAGAGUUAAACAGUACGUGAAAUUGUUGAAAGGGAAACGCUUGAAGUCAGUCAUGUCGUCCGGGAAUCAACCUUUGCCUUCUCUUGGGCUGGGUGCACUUUCUGGUUCGACAGGUCAGCAUCAAUUUUGACCGCCGGACAAAGUCCAGGGGAAUGUGGCAUCCUCGGAUGUGUUUUAUAGCCCUUGGUCGCAUACGGCGGUUGGGAUUGAGGAACGAUCAGCACGCCGCAAUGGCCGGGUUCCUUUUGGAAUCACGAAACGUGCUCAGGAUGCUGGCAUAAUGGCUUCAAUCGACCCGUCUUGAAACACGGACCAAGGAGUCUAACAUGCCCGCGAGUGUUUGGGUGGAAAACCCGAGCGCGCAAUGAAAGUGAACAGUUGAGACCUCUGUCGUGGAGGGCAUCGACGCCCGGACCAGAGCUUUUGUGAUGGAUCCGCGGUGGAGCGUGCAUGUUGGGACCCGAAAGAUGGUGAACUAUGCCUGAACAGGGUGAAGCCAGAGGAAACUCUGGUGGAGGCUCGUAGCGAUUCUGACGUGCAAAUCGAUCGUCGAAUUUGGGU
The sequence is a ribosomal RNA, 888 nucleotides long. It matches the Rfam family "Eukaryotic large subunit ribosomal RNA", at positions 65 to 916 of the family's 3401-position model.